AGAGAAAGAAGGGAAAAUGCAGGUGAGGAAGAGAGAAGCCAAAUCCACGCUCUCUGAAUUCGGAGAGGAUGGCAGGAUUUAAAAGAGCAAGUGACCUUCAGGAAAUUGAUCCCGGCGUUGAUGGAUCACUAUAUUUAGGACACAGACUAAUAGGUCAGCUGUUGCCUCUUCACUGCAGAAAAGGGAUUUUCAAACUGUUCUGCAAAUACGGCAGGCAGGUAGGGGAGAUGAGUCCUCCCAUCCUGUCAUUACCGAUGGAAAAACUGAUACGCGGAGAUGUGACAUGACUUGUCCCAGAAAACCUCCCUAAAAGAGACUCUCAUCGCUUGCUUCUGAGACCUGAAUGCACUGCUGUGAUUCAUACUGUAAUUGCUAGAGGAGAUGGGGAGGGACUGCACCUGUGUGGGACCACGAGGGAC
Molecule: long non-coding RNA, 419 nt
Organism: Chroicocephalus ridibundus (black-headed gull)
Lineage: Eukaryota; Metazoa; Chordata; Aves; Charadriiformes; Laridae
Exons: 3
Source: RefSeq, a predicted model, not a curated record